CAUCUCUGCCCUGUACCUGUCCCUAAAGCUCAGACAGGUGGCAGUAACUCCCCUACAGAAUGAGGUAUGCUGUUGAAGCUCUUGACAACACUAGCCUUCCACUAUCCACCCCUCGCUUCUCCACCCCAUGAACCUCUCUCCCAGCCAACUAGCACUCAAAAUUCUAGCCUUGUCACCCUAAUCUUAACAACUCGGCACAGGCCGACCACAAUAACCCCUGGACCAGUGGAAGUGGGACUUGGAGGCAUUCACCUUUAACCCAGACCAGACGUGUUAUUUUCUCUUGAGACACAUUCCUUUAGCCCAUACUGCCCCUCUCUCCCUUCCUUCCAAAGCAAAUGCUCUGUCAGAUCUCUGCUGUCAGACUGAUAAGCCACAAUGCUAAGCCAAUAGAUUUACCAGCAGUUUUGUGUUCGCUGGAAGAGGUCUAAGGUAGCAUUUUUAGCCAAUCUGUUCCAAAGUGAAAGGUGUAGCAUUUUUAUGUGGCAAGAAAUUCAGGCUAAAGUCAUCCCCACCCGCCCCCCACCUUUGCAUGAUCACAACCAGCACAAAAUGCUAACCUCCAACCCCCAUCCCACCAUUGAGGGUGACAGGACAUUUGUUUUGAACUGGAAACCAAAAAGAGACAUCUCAUAAUGGAAGGUAACAAUCAGAGGGAGACAUUUUCUGAGCCUCACAGGUUGAGGAAUAAUAACAAGAAAAAAGAGGAGGGGUGAAAUCCUUGUGUUCUGACUGUAGCACACUCUAUUCCUGGAGAUACCAGGGGCCCCUUUGCGUCACAGAACCUUUCCCUUGUGGAGCAGUGGGGAUAUCUCCACAAUAAAAGGAGACCUUGGCACUAUUGAACUGCUCAUCUUCAGUGGGUUUCAUGGUCAUAAAAUACAAGAAUUUUCAAGUUUAUCCUCACUCACUGAUUUGUGGACAACAGGGUAGAGACCUCACCAGCAAACGACGGUGGGUAACUGUGGACAAUGUGCAAUCUCUGCCAACGUGGAGGCUAUUUUGCUUCUCUGCAAGCUCCUGGUCAGACAAAAUCAGAUGUGUAAUUCUAAUUGUAAUCGUCACGGCUGUAUUUACAUUUUUAACACCGCAAUGAUAUUGAUGAUAAUGCUAUAUCUUCAGCCACAUCUCUGAUGUGUACAGUAGGGUUAUGGUAAUGAUGUGACUUUCAUCAUGGAAGCAAAAGUAUGACUGCUGCUUAUCACACCACAAAGGGAUUGCGUCAAUCGAGAGUUGAUACCACAGCCAUUAGCAUUGUUUCGUCACUAGUGCUCAGGGUCGUAAUGUUGCACUAGGAUUUAUCAUUGACAAGGGAAGCUGGCUCUCUUAAAUCAAAUUUGCUUGUCAGUCAUAGAUAAUUCUCUGGAAACACUGGUCCAAACGUACUGUAGAACUAUUUGUAAAGUCAAACUACUGAAACAAAUUAAUCAAUUCUUUAAUGAGUCAAAGAUUUUGUCAUAUUUACAUUAUGAUAUGGGGAAUCAUCUCACUUCCCUGUCCUUCACCCUGUUCAAAAUGUUGUCCUUUGCCAGUGUUAAUCUGUCUGCAUUAUAACAUUUUGGCAGUGUAUAUUUUGCUUCAUUCUAGUUUAUAUUGCCGGUAGAGACUAACAGCCCCCCCACACACACUAGUUGGUGCUCAGUGAUCUGAAAGGACUGAGAGUCUAUUGAGGGACAUAAUGACGAACCUUAUGUAUUAUUACCCAAAAUGAGUUGCACUUACAGUACAUGUUGCCAAAUUGGUGGGUAGUGUACCACAUGGGGGUGUCAAAAAGGCUCUAAGUUUGUCAGUUGCACAGAGAAAUUAGAAAGCAUCAUGUUGCUUGUCAGGUUCAAAUAAAAGUAUGUAUUUUGGUGCAAGGAUUUCUCCCUAUAGACUUCUGUCAACAUAAAAUUUACUCUUUUGAUUUUCAUGCUCUAUCUGUCCAGCCAAAAUCUCCAGCUUCUUGCCAACUUCUUUUUCCAUCUCUCCCAUUUCCCUUUGGGUCUGAACCCUCUUUCUCUUCCCCUGAACACCGAUGGGAAGUGUAAUUCCACACACCAGCCAGAGCUAUGGGUUGCAUGUUUUAUAACAAAAAUUGGAGUGUUACACACAUAAACAUACACACACAUGCAUGGAUUUGCAGACACGUACACACGCACAGCAACGACUCACCACCCUCCAUGAUGUACUCUCUCACACACGCACAUGCACACACACACUAACUAAAAUGAUGUUUAGAGAUUCAUUCUCUCUCCAUCCAUGUAUUGUUCCAACUGCUCUAUCUUGACUUCCUCCCCGAUGACAGUAGUGUUUGCCAGUGUCUGUGUAUGCCAAGCAGGUGGAACCAGAGACCAAUGUUCAGAUUAGAGACUGUUGACUCAGAGUAAGCACUGCAACACAAUCUGCCGCAUGAUAGUCAGGCAUUUAGGCUUCGCCUGUCCCGUGCCAAGACUAGGAUUCUGUUUCACAGUAAUUAUUUCCUUGAAUUUCCGGUUUUAAAAUAAAUAUAUAUACUGUACCAGUCAAAAGUUUGGACACACCUACUCAUUCAAGG
This 2536-nucleotide long non-coding RNA is filed under the name Salmo salar (Atlantic salmon). RNAcentral describes it as "lncRNA (ENSSSAG00000114009.1)". The record is from RNAcentral. Lineage: Eukaryota; Metazoa; Chordata; Actinopteri; Salmoniformes; Salmonidae.